RNAcentral lists this ribosomal RNA (465 nucleotides) under uncultured bacterium. RNAcentral describes it as "partial 16S ribosomal RNA". It matches the Rfam family "Bacterial small subunit ribosomal RNA", at positions 28 to 507 of the family's 1533-position model. The record is from RNAcentral.
GACGAACGCUGGCGGCGUGCUUAACACAUGCAAGUCGAACGGAAAGGCCCCUUUGGGGGUCCUCGAGUGGCGAACGGGUGAGUAACACGUGAGUAACCUGCCCUUGACUUCGGGAUAACUUCAGGAAACUGGGGCUAAUACCGGAUAGGAAUCCUUGCUGCAUGGUGGGGGUUGGAAAGCUUCGGCGGUUUUGGAUGGACUCGCGGCUUAUCAGCUUGUUGGUGGGGUAGUGGCUUACCAAGGCUUUGACGGGUAGCCGGCCUGAGAGGGCGACCGGCCACAUUGGGACUGAGAGACGGCCCAGACUCCUACGGGAGGCAGCAGUGGGGAAGAUUGCACAAUGGGCGGAAGCCUGAUGCAGCAACGCCGCGUGCGGGAUGACGGCCUUCGGGUUGUAAACCGCUUUCAGCAGGGGCGAAGCUUGUGGUGACGGUACCUGCAGAAGAAGCACCGGCUAACUACGUG